RNAcentral lists this ribosomal RNA (497 nucleotides) under uncultured bacterium. Its description in RNAcentral is "partial 16S ribosomal RNA". It matches the Rfam family "Bacterial small subunit ribosomal RNA", at positions 28 to 507 of the family's 1533-position model. The record is from RNAcentral.
GAUGAACGCUGGCGGCGUGCCUAAUACAUGCAAGUCGAGCGAACAGACGAGGAGCUUGCUCCUCUGACGUUAGCGGCGGACGGGUGAGUAACACGUGGAUAACCUACCUAUAAGACUGGGAUAACUUCGGGAAACCGGAGCUAAUACCGGAUAAUAUAGUGAACCGCAUGGUUCAAUAGUGAAAGACGGUUUUGCUGUCACUUAUAGAUGGAUCCGCGCCGCAUUAGCUAGUUGGUAAGGUAACGGCUUACCAAGGCAACGAUGCGUAGCCGACCUGAGAGGGUGAUCAGCCACACUGGAACUGAGACACGGUCCAGACUCCUACGGGAGGCAGCAGUAGGGAAUCUUCCGCAAUGGGCGAAAGCCUGACGGAGCAACGCCGCGUGAGUGAUGAAGGUCUUCGGAUCGUAAAACUCUGUUAUUAGGGAAGAACAAAUGUGUAAGUAACUAUGCACGUCUUGACGGUACCUACUCAGAAAGCCACGGCUAACUACGUG